Molecule: ribosomal RNA, 74 nt
Filed under: Paenibacillus faecis
Lineage: Bacteria; Bacillati; Bacillota; Bacilli; Caryophanales; Paenibacillaceae
Description: partial 16S ribosomal RNA
Rfam family: Bacterial small subunit ribosomal RNA
Source: RNAcentral
CUUUAUUGGAGAGUUUGAUCCUGGCUCAGGACGAACGCUGGCGGCGUGCCUAAUACAUGCAAGUCGAGCGGAGU